GACGAACGCUGGCGGCGUGCUUAACACAUGCAAGUCGAACGGAAAGGCCCUGCUUUUGUGGGGUGCUCGAGUGGCGAACGGGUGAGUAACACGUGAGUAACCUGCCCUUGACUGUGGGAUAACUUCAGGAAACUGGGGCUAAUACCGGAUAGGAGCUCCUGCAGCAUGGUGGGGGUUGGAAAGUGUCGGCGGUUGUGGAUGGACUCGCGGCUUAUCAGCUUGUUGGUGGGGUAGUUGCUUACCAAGGCUUUGACGGGUAGCCGGCCUGAGAGGGUGACCGGCCACAUUGGGACUGAGAUACGGCCCAGACUCCUACGGGAGGCAGCAGUGGGGAAUAUUGCACAAUGGGCGGAAGCCUGAUGCAGCAACGCCGCGUGCGGGAUGACGGCCUUCGGGUUGUAAACCGCUUUCGCCUGUGACGAAGCGUGAGUGACGGUAAUGGGUAAAGAAGCACCGGCUAACUACGUG
Molecule: ribosomal RNA, 468 nt
Filed under: uncultured bacterium
Lineage: Bacteria
Description: partial 16S ribosomal RNA
Rfam family: Bacterial small subunit ribosomal RNA
Source: RNAcentral